This 490-nucleotide ribosomal RNA is filed under the name uncultured bacterium. Its description in RNAcentral is "partial 16S ribosomal RNA". It matches the Rfam family "Bacterial small subunit ribosomal RNA", at positions 29 to 507 of the family's 1533-position model. The record is from RNAcentral.
AUUGAACGCUGGCGGCAGGCCUAACACAUGCAAGUCGAACGGUAACAGGAAGAAGCUUGCUGCUUUGCUGACGAGUGGCGGACGGGUGAGUAAUGGCUGGGAAACUGCCUGAUGGAGGGGGAUAACUACUGGAAACGGUAGCUAAGACCGCAUAACGUCGCAAGACCAAAGGGGGGGACCUGCUGGCCUCGUGGCGUCUGGAGUGCCGAGGUGUGAGUAGCUUGGCGGGGGGGUAACGUCCCACCUAGGCGACGAUCCCUAGAUGGUCUGAGAGGAUGACAGCCGACACUGGAACUGAGACACGGUCAAGACUACUAAGGGAGGCAGCAGAGGGGAAUGUUGCACAAUAGGGGCGAGCAUGAUGCAGCCAGGCCGCGCGUAUGGAGACGGCCUUCGGGUUGUAAAGUCGUUUUAGCGGGGAGGAACGGAGUUAACUUAAUACCAAGGCUGAGUGACGGUAACGGGAGAAGAAGCACCGGCUAACUACGUG